GUAGUGACGAAAAAUAACGAUGCAGAACUCUUUCCGAGGCUCUGCAAUCGGAAUGAGUACACUCUAAAUCAUUUAACGAGUAUCCAUUGGAGGGCAAGUCUGGUGCCAGCAGCCGCGGUAAUUCCAGCUCCAAUAGCGUAUAUUAAAGUUGUUGCGGUUAAAAAGCUCGUAGUUGGAUCUGUGUUCCACGCUGUCGGUUCACCGUAUGACGGUGUCUAACUGACAUGUCGUGGUACGUCCUGCCGGUUGGUGAUCGGCACCUCCUCGCCGGGGUGUCGAGCGGGGUCGCGCGUCUUUCGCAGGGCGCGUGCCCCAGCCAGUUCAAUCCUGUCGCGAUGCUCUUUACCGAGUGUCGGGGCGGGCCGGCACGUUUACUUUGAACAAAUUUGAGUGCUUAAAGCAGGCUGUUACGCCCGAAAACUGCGUGCAUGGAAUAAUGGAAUAGGACCGCGGUUCUAUUUUGUUGGUUUUUGAGUCCGAGGUAAUGAUUAAUAGGGACAGGCGGGGGCAUUAGUAUUGCGACGUUAGAGGUGAAAUUCUUGGAUCGUCGCAAGACUGACCUAAGCGAAAGCAUUUGCCAAGGAUGCUUCCAUUAAUCAAGAACGAAAGUUAGAGGUUCGAAGGCGAUCAGAUACCGCCCUAGUUCUAACCAUAAACGAUGCCAGCCAGCGAUCCGUCGAAGUUCCUCCGAUGACUCGACGGGCAGCUUCCGGGAAACCAAAGCUUUUAGGUUCCGGGGGAAGUAUGGUUGCAAAGCUGAAACUUAAAGGAAUUGACGGAAGGGCACCACCAGGAGUGGAGCUUGCGGCUUAAUUUGACUCAACACGGGAAACCUCACCAGGCCCAGACACUGGAAGGAUUGACAGAUUGAGAGCUCUUUCUUGAUUCAGUGGGUGGUGGUGCAUGGCCG
Molecule: ribosomal RNA, 910 nt
Filed under: Stimulopalpus japonicus
Lineage: Eukaryota; Metazoa; Arthropoda; Insecta; Psocodea; Amphientomidae
Description: SSU rRNA
Rfam family: Eukaryotic small subunit ribosomal RNA
Source: RNAcentral